GAGGUUGCCUGGAUGAUAUCCACAUC
This 26-nucleotide non-coding RNA is filed under the name Homo sapiens (human). Lineage: Eukaryota; Metazoa; Chordata; Mammalia; Primates; Hominidae. The record is from RNAcentral.